RNAcentral lists this unclassified non-coding RNA (200 nucleotides) under soil metagenome. Its description in RNAcentral is "partial contains internal transcribed spacer 2 and large subunit ribosomal RNA". The record is from RNAcentral.
CGUUCGAGCGUCAUUACACCACUCAAGCCUGGCUUGGUAUUGGGCGACGGGGCCUCCCCGCGCCUUCAAUUCAUCGGCUGGACGGUUCGAAUCUCAGCGUUGUGGUUUCAUCAAAUCGCUGGCGAGAACGACCGGACGUCGCCGUUAAACUCUCAUCAAAGGUUGACCUCGGAUCGGGUAGGGAUACCCGCUGAACUUAA